UUUAUUAUUAUUAUUCUUCUUGUUUUUCCUUCUGACUUCUUUUUUGCUUUAUAUCUCAAAAACUAUUCAACCGAUUUGCAAGAAAUUUUCAGGGAUAAUGUUAAAUACUUGUCCCUUGAAGAUUUUAAACUUUCAGUCAUUAAGUCACUUCCGUUUUCUAGUUACGUCAUUUUUAAAAAUUUCAAAAAGUGAUUUUGUCCAGGACUUUUCUCGUAAACGGUUGUUUAUAAAGACUUGAAAUUCUCUGUGAUUGUAAAUCUGCGGAUUUACUUAUGGCAAAUUUACAAAAAAAAUUAUUUUGUCACUUCCGGUCGAAACUGGAAGUGAUUCUAAUUUUUCGGAAUUUUCAUUUUUUUGAGCGAAUAAUAAAAUUAUAUGCAUGUUGUAGAGUUUGCAAAGCUAAAUGCAAAACUGAAAUUCGUUUUAAAAUCGGAUGAUGCAUUUAAGAGAUAUCGGGGUUUAAAAAUUGAUCUUUCCGGAAAUUUUGAUUCCGUGUUUUUGGUUUUAAAAAUAGUGCAAAUUUCACACUGAAAGUAAUUUCUACUGAAAACAAUUCGUACUGAUAAUUAAACUAUAUAUAAAACACAAAAUUAUAUGCAUAUUGUAGAGUUUGCAAAGCUCAAUACAAAACUGAAAUUCGUUUUCAAGUCGGAUGAUGCAUUGCAGAGAUAUCGGGGUUUAAAUAUUGAUUUUUCCGGAAAUUUUGAUUCCGUGUUCUUGGUUUAAAAAAUAGUGUAAAAUUCACACUGAAAGUAACUCCUGCUGAAAACAAUUCGUGCAGGUCAUAAAACCGGACUCUGUUUUUUAAUAGUUAAUUAAAGUGUUUAUCGAUACAAUUUCGUUAUUUCGAUUGAUAAUUACGUUGUUAGUUUUUAUUAGUCUUAUUAGUUUUAAUCGAAAUAAUUAUCGUACGAUUCCCCAUUUCAACUCGCCAUGUUUUGACUGCGAACAAACAGCUGAUAGCGGUGUGUCUACAUUUUUAAAAGAAGCAUGGCCUGCAAGACGUCGAUAGUGGAAAUUUCAGCUCUACUAACGUAUGACAGAUUAUAAAGCUUAAAGCAGACUCUUGUUACCACAUGACUUUUACCUGUUGAUUCUUGUGGUUUCAGCUCUUGAGGUUAACCUGUCACCUCUACCCACAUGCAUAUUCCCUGUGUUCUACAGACUAUCUACCGGUAAUUCAAAUUAAAUCGGAUAAUGCAUGAACAAUAAUGGAACUUUAAGAAAGCAUCAUGUCCUAUUGUGGUUUGUUCAUGUUUGAUAAGAAAUUAUGAAAAACAAAAUUAAGGCUGUUUAAAGAAAUAUAAUUGUUGUGAAAAUUUGUUUUUCAAUAAAAGUAUGCAAUUAUA
Magallana angulata is the source of this 1349-nucleotide long non-coding RNA. RefSeq lists it as uncharacterized. Lineage: Eukaryota; Metazoa; Mollusca; Bivalvia; Ostreida; Ostreidae. The transcript has 2 exons. The record is from RefSeq and is a predicted model, not a curated record.